ACUAAGGCUUUUCUUCUUUUCCCCAUUUUGUCUCCUGAAAGGCUGGAGUGUGGGAAAGGAAACAGCCCAGUCUUAAUCAUCUAUAUUCAUAAGUGGGUGCUGGUGAAGGUAAAGUUCAGAAAGCAUCCAACAGAGGGCCUAUUAUUUGCACCCUGGAUAGUUACUAUGUGUUUGUGUCCCCCAGAAUUCAUAGGCGGAAACCCUAAGCCCCAAUGUGGUAUUAGGUAAUUAGGUUUAGAUGAGGUCAUGAAAGCAAGCCCCAAGGCCCCAAGGGAUUAGUGCCCUUAUGAGAAGAGGAAGAUAAACCAGAACUUCCUCUUUCUGCCAUGUGAGGAUAUGUUGAGAAGGAGGCUGUCUGCUGGCCAGGAAGAGAGCCCUCACCAGAAACACAAUCUGCCCAUACCUUGAUUUUGGACUUCCCAGCCUCCAGAACUCUUCUGGAAGCCCCUCACAUUCCUUGGCUCGUGGCCCCUUCCUCCAUCUUCAAAGACAUCAGUGGCAGGUAAAGUCCUUCUCAUGUUGCAUCCAUCUGACUCACAGUCAUAUCUUCCUCCCUCCACAGCUGGGAAAGUUCAUCUCUUUUGAAGGAUUCAUAGGAUUAGAUUGGGCCCACAGAAUAAUCGAGGAUAAUCUCCCCAUCUCACAGUCCUUAAAAUUAAUCAUAUUUGCAAAUUCCCUUUUGCCAUGUGAGGUAACAUAUUGACAGGUUCCAGACAUUAGGAGGUGGGCAUCAUUCCGGUGCCAUUAUUCUGCCCAUCAUAGUCAAGUAGACGACACGAUUCCAGACUUGGAAUUAGCAGAAGUCGAUGCAAGCUCAAUUAAGAAAUGGCAGCAAACUAGCACACGACUAGAGUAAGGCAUGGAAUUGCUCUGAAUUUGUGCUUUCUCCCUUGGUCAAAAAAAAAAAAAAAAGAAAAGAAAAUAGGAGGUGUUCUCUAUUUUAUUAACUAUGUCAGAGAGCAAUCUGAGGCUGUCACGCUCCAAAAGCAUGACACACAGUCUUAGGAGAAAGCCAUUUGCAAUGUCCUGAGGGAAGCAGGGCACUGAGAGAGCUCGGGACUUGUCAGAACAUGUCAUGAACUACCAGCUUCAGAGAAAAUAGCUACCUGAUCAGUAUGUUGUGUUUGACAUCUUUGAGCAAGUCUCCAGGGUGUAUUUCAGGAGACCUGGGCUCUAGCACAGUGACAGUAAGGGAGGAGAAAACAAAGAUGGUUGAAACCCUUGUGUCCCCGGAUUCUAGUUACAUAUGAUUUAGUGAAGGCGUCAAGCACGUGCAUAACUCAGAUACAUGGCAGGAUGAAAAAGGCUGCAGCCUGAGGAGGAACAGGCUACAGGACUCGUGCCUAUGGUCCAUCCAGGUUACUGCUUUGUCUCUGAUAGAGACCCAAAGGAACAGUUUUGGGAUAGGUCAGCCAAACGGAAAGGCCAAGAACACCCCCUAAAUGUGCCUACCUUCCCUCUAAUAAUCCAUUGUGGUUCUAUCUUACAUUAAUUCCCUUAAUCUCAUUUUUAA
This 1513-nucleotide long non-coding RNA is filed under the name Papio anubis (olive baboon). RNAcentral's name for it is "lncRNA (ENSPANG00000040524.1)". Lineage: Eukaryota; Metazoa; Chordata; Mammalia; Primates; Cercopithecidae. The record is from RNAcentral.